GACGAACGCUGGCGGCGUGCUUAACACAUGCAAGUCGAACGGACAGGCCCUGCUUUUGUGGGUUGCUCGAGUGGCGCACGGGUGAGUAACACGUGAGUAACCUGCCCUUGACUUUGGGAUAACUUCAGGAAACUGGGGCUCAUACCGGAUAUGAGCUCCUGCUGCAUGGUGUUGGUUGGAAAGUUUCGGCGGUUGGGGAUGUACUCGAGGCUUAUCAGCUUGUUGGUCGGGUAGUGGCUUACCAAGGCUUUGACGGGUAGCCGGCCUGAGAGGGUGACCGGGCACAUGGCGACUGAGAGACGGAGCAGAAGCGUAUGGGAGGCAGUGGGGGAGAAUAUGGCAGAAUGGGGGGGAGUCUGAGACAGAAAUGUCGCGUGCGGGAUGACGGGUUUUGGGGUGAAAACAGAUGUGGAAGGUGACGAAGAGGGAGUGACGGUAAUGGGUAAAGAAGCACCGGCUAACUACGUG
RNAcentral lists this ribosomal RNA (468 nucleotides) under uncultured bacterium. RNAcentral's name for it is "partial 16S ribosomal RNA". It matches the Rfam family "Bacterial small subunit ribosomal RNA", at positions 28 to 507 of the family's 1533-position model. The record is from RNAcentral.